RNAcentral lists this ribosomal RNA (253 nucleotides) under uncultured bacterium. RNAcentral's name for it is "partial 16S ribosomal RNA". It matches the Rfam family "Bacterial small subunit ribosomal RNA", at positions 524 to 776 of the family's 1533-position model. The record is from RNAcentral.
UACAGAGGGGGCAAGCGUUGUUCGGAAUUACUGGGCGUAAAGGGCGCGUAGGCGGCCUGCUAAGUCGAACGUGAAAUCCCCGGGCUCAACCCGGGAACUGCGUCCGAUACUGGCAGGCUUGAAUCCGGGAGAGGGAUGUGGAAUUCCAGGUGUAGCGGUGAAAUGCGUAGAUAUCUGGAGGAACACCGGUGGCGAAGGCGGCAUCCUGGACCGGUAUUGACGCUGAGGCGCGACAGCGUGGGGAGCAAACAGG